Molecule: long non-coding RNA, 451 nt
Organism: Myotis myotis
Lineage: Eukaryota; Metazoa; Chordata; Mammalia; Chiroptera; Vespertilionidae
Exons: 4
Source: RefSeq, a predicted model, not a curated record
CCUCAGCUUGGCUAACCUAUUUGGAUAUCUAAUAGAGGAAAAGAAAAGGAGAGAGAGAUAAAUUUAGAAAUAUCAGUGAUGAGAGAGAAUCAUUUGCAAAUAGAGAUGUCAUAGAAGACUGGAACUGGUGAUUAUUAAACCUACCAGAGUGUUUGACACAGAGAUACCAGCCAUUGGAGGAGAGUCCAUCCUAAUCUGCUGUGACCUAAUUUUAAUGACUUACAUCAAAAAGGCCCUAAUGCCAAAUAAGGUUAUAUUUUGAAGUUCUGGGUAGAUGUGGAUUUAUAGAGGACACCAUUCAGACCAGUAUAAGGAUUAACACAUAAUAUGUAAAACACAAAAACAAAAAAGAGCAUCAGUGUGAAUUCUUAUUUGCUCUGAGGAUGGAACACUUUCUACUGGGAGAAUUAAAAAAAGUGAUGUACACAUUUCACAAUAAAUACAUUUUAAA